CCUACGGGGGGCAGCAGUGAGGAAUAUUGGUCAAUGGCCGAGAGGCUGAACCAGCCAAGUCGCGUGAGGGAAGAAGGUCCUAAGGAUUGUAAACCUCUUUUGUCAGGGAACAAAGUCAGUCACGUGUGCCUGUUCGAGAGUACCUGAAGAAAAAGCAUCGGCUAACUCCGUGCCAGCAGCCGCGGUAAUACGGAGGAUGCGAGCGUUAUCCGGAUUUAUUGGGUUUAAAGGGUGCGUAGGCGGGGUGUCAAGUCAGCGGUAAAAGCGCGGGGCUCAACCCCGGCCAGCCGUUGAAACUGGCGGUCUUGAGUGGGCGAGAAGUAUGCGGAAUGCGUGGUGUAGCGGUGAAAUGCAUAGAUAUCACGCAGAACUCCGAUUGCGAAGGCAGCAUACCGGCGCCCAACUGACGCUGAGGCACGAAAGCGUGGGUAUCGAACAGGAUUAGAUACCCUAGUAGUC
Molecule: ribosomal RNA, 459 nt
Filed under: uncultured bacterium
Lineage: Bacteria
Description: partial 16S ribosomal RNA
Rfam family: Bacterial small subunit ribosomal RNA
Source: RNAcentral